GCGAUGCACAUACGGUAGAAAUUCCGUAGCCUCUAUCAAUUUAAACACAGGGACACUUUUGAAGGGUUCAGCCGGGCGAUGGUUGCCCCGGUCGUAAGGGACUGCAAAUGAGCGGGAAGUGAAUUUGGAAGAAGGCGAGAAAAGCUGUGUGAAUAGAAGAUAGAGCCCGUACCGCAAACCGACACAGGUAGAUAGGAAGAAGAUUCUAAGGCCAACGGGAGAAGGGUUGUUAAGGAACUCGGCAAGUUGACCCCGUAACUUAGGGAGAAGGGGUGCUCUUUAAGGAGAGCCGCAGAGAAUAGGCCCAAGCGACUGUUUAGCAAAAACACAGCUCUAUGCUAAAUCGAAAGAUGACGUAUAUGGGGUGACACCUGCCCGGUGCCGGAAGGUUAAGAGGAGGAGUGAGAGCUCUGAAUUGAAGCCCCGGUAAACGGCGGCCGUAACAAUAACGGUCCUAAGGUAGCGAAAUUCCUUGUCAGGUAAGUUCUGACCCGCACGAAUGGUGUAACGAUUUGGGCACUGUCUCAACAACCUGCCCGGCGAAAUUGUAGUACCGGUGAAGAUGCCGGUUACCCGCGACUAGACGGAAAGACCCCAUGGAGCUUUACUGCAGCUUAAUAUUGAAUUUCGGUAUUUCAUGUACAGGAUAGGUGGGAGACAGGGAACCGUAGGCGUCAGCUUAUGGGGAGUCGACCUUGGGAUACCACUCUUGAGGUGCUGGAAUUCUAACCUGUGGCUCUGAAUCGAGUCAGGGGACAUUGUUAGGCGGGCAGUUUGACUGGGGCGGUCGCCUCCAAAAAGGUAACGGAGGCGCUCAAAGGUUCGCUCAGCAUGGAUGGAAACCAUGCUUUUGAGUGUAAACGCAAAAGCGAGCCUAACUGCGAGACUGACGGGUCGAGCAGUAACGAAAGUUGGAGUUAGUGAUCCGGCGGUAUGUGAGUGGAAAUGCCGUCGCUCAACGGAUAAAAGCUACCCUGGGGAUAACAGGCUGAUCUCCCCCAAGAGUCCACAUCGACGGGGAGGUUUGGCACCUCGAUGUCGGCUCAUCGCAUCCUGGGGCUGAAUUCGGUCCCAAGGGUUUGGCUGUUCGCCAAUUAAAGCGGUACGCGAGCUGGGUUCAGAACGUCGUGAGACAGUUCGGUCCCUAUCUGUCGUGGGCGUAGGAUAUUUGAAAGGAGCUGUCCCUAGUACGAGAGGACCGGGAUGGACGCACCGCUGGUGCACCAGUUGUCAUGCCAAUGGCACAGCUGGGCAGCUAUGUGCGGAACGGAUAAACGCUGAAGGCAUCUAAGCGUGAAGCCGACCUUAAGAUAAGAUAUCCCUUCGUAAGAGUAAGACCUCUCAUAGACUAUGAGUUUGAUAGGCCUAAGGUGUAAGCACAGUGAUGUGUUCAGCCUGCAGGUACUAAUCGGUCGAGGGCUUUUCU
Molecule: ribosomal RNA, 1426 nt
Filed under: metagenome
Description: bacterial LSU rRNA
Rfam family: Bacterial large subunit ribosomal RNA
Source: RNAcentral